CACUCUCCAGGAUAGAAGACUCUGAAACUGGUUUGGGCCAGAAAGCCAUGCUUCAUUUAGUCACAAAGGACUUUCCCUUAACUUUUGAACCCCUGGUCUGAUUCGUGCCAUUUUUUAAUAUGUUGUUCCCCUGAAUGGAUUGAUUAUGAAAAUGUAUGUUUUAUGUUUGUGACAUGUAUAUUUUAGAAGUUAUAAAUAUUGUGUAAAAACUGUAUUCCUCUG
This 222-nucleotide long non-coding RNA is filed under the name Pelobates cultripes (western spadefoot toad). The record is from RNAcentral. Lineage: Eukaryota; Metazoa; Chordata; Amphibia; Anura; Pelobatidae.